This 305-nucleotide ribosomal RNA is filed under the name uncultured bacterium. Its description in RNAcentral is "bacterial SSU rRNA". It matches the Rfam family "Bacterial small subunit ribosomal RNA", at positions 333 to 635 of the family's 1533-position model. The record is from RNAcentral.
UGGAUCCUACGGGACGCAGCAGUGAGGAAUAUUGGUCAAUGGGCGGGAGCCUGAACCAGCCACGUCGCGUGAGGGAAGACGGUCCUAUGGAUUGUAAACCUCUUUAGGCGGGGAGCAAUGCCGAGCACGUGUGCCCGGAGGGAGAGUACCCGCAGAAUAAGCAUCGGCUAACUCCGUGCCAGCAGCCGCGGUAAUACGGAGGAUGCGAGCGUUAUCCGGAUUUAUUGGGUUUAAAGGGUGCGUAGGCGGAUUUUUAAGUCAGCGGUAAAAUGUCCGGGCUCAACCCGGGCCGGCCGUUGAAACUG